RNAcentral lists this small RNA (264 nucleotides) under Octodon degus (degu). RNAcentral's name for it is "7SK RNA (ENSODEG00000023735.1)". The stretch from base 1 to 187 matches the Rfam family "7SK RNA". Rfam says of the family: 7SK was discovered as an abundant small nuclear RNA in the mid-70s but a possible function has only recently been suggested. The record is from RNAcentral. Lineage: Eukaryota; Metazoa; Chordata; Mammalia; Rodentia; Octodontidae.
GGAUGUGAGGGUCUGGCCAUGACAUUUAUCGCCCCACUGACUGCCAGACUUGAUUCAGCUGGUUAGGCCCGUGUCCCCUUCCUCCUUCAAUGCUCCAUGUGUGCCCCCCACCCCAAGCUCAACACUUGGUGGGAAAGGACAGCCUCUCGCAUAGAGGAGGACUGUAUCAGUCAGGGAUUUACCAGAGGAACAGAUAUAACACAAGAUACGACACAAGUUUACAGGUAUGCUCCACCAUGCCUAGCUUUUGGGGUGACAUUUUUG